UCAAUAAAUGAGAAUUUUGCCUCAGACACGAGCAUUUUCGCCCCAGGCACAGAAUUUUCGCCUGAGGCGCCAACAUUUUCGCCCCAGGCGAACAGGCAAACAGAGAGGUACUUUUUCUGGUGAAAUUUUCGCCUGAGGCACAGGAUUUUUCGCCUCAGGCGAACAAGCAAACAGAGAGGUGCUUUUCAACUGGGAAUUUUCGCCUGAGGCACAGGAAUUUUCGCCUCAGGCACAAAAUUUUCGCCUGAGGCACCUACAUUUUCGCCCGGGGCGAAAAAAGCAGAAUAUUAGCUAUUUU
RNAcentral lists this long non-coding RNA (298 nucleotides) under Trifolium pratense (red clover). Its description in RNAcentral is "long non-coding RNA (TPRA_LNC002022)". Lineage: Eukaryota; Viridiplantae; Streptophyta; Magnoliopsida; Fabales; Fabaceae. The record is from RNAcentral.